AAACUGAUCUUGCUCGUCUGCCUUACGUCUGUGCAAUCAUAAACGAGACAUUGCGAAUGUAUCCUCCAGGACCAUUGCUAAUGCCUCAUGAAUCGUCACAAGAUUGUACUGUAGGAGGUUACCGUGUUCCUAGAGGCACCAUGCUACUAGUAAACAUGUGGGCAAUUCAAAAUGACCCUAAAAUCUGGGUUGAUCCUGAAAAAUUCAGGCCUGAAAGAUUUGAAGAUAAUGAAGGGAUGAGAGACGGGUUCAAAUUCCUUCCUUUUGGGACAGGGAGGAGAAGGUGCCCUGGGGACGGCUUGGCCAUGUGCGUUAUUGGAUUGACGUUGGGAUCGCUAAUUCAAUGCUUCGAGUGGGAGAAGGCUAAUGAGGAGAUGGUAGACAUGAGGGAGAAAAGUGGAUUUCAGUUGGCAAAGGAUCGACCUUUACAUGUUAAAUGCAGAAUACGUCCAGGCAUGGAUGAGGUUCUUUCUCAAAUUUGAAUAUUAGUAGUUUUUUUUUAGCUGGGAAUAGCUAAUAAAACACUGCACCUGUAUGAACUUCUGCACAAUGAACACCAUCACUUUCUAAGAAAUAACUUCCCUUUGUAUAUCUGGCCUAUAAGGUGUAAAAAUGCUAUUAUCUGCUAGGAAUUUCAAAUUGGCAUCACUCAAGCAUGAAGUUAAGGUCUCGUCGGUUAAGAAUGUUGCAGCUAUUAAAAGGUUGUUUAAUAAACUUUCAAUUUGUUCUUAUAAA
RNAcentral lists this unclassified non-coding RNA (735 nucleotides) under Hevea brasiliensis (rubber tree). Lineage: Eukaryota; Viridiplantae; Streptophyta; Magnoliopsida; Malpighiales; Euphorbiaceae. The record is from RNAcentral.